RNAcentral lists this ribosomal RNA (274 nucleotides) under uncultured bacterium. RNAcentral's name for it is "partial 16S ribosomal RNA". It matches the Rfam family "Bacterial small subunit ribosomal RNA", at positions 523 to 796 of the family's 1533-position model. The record is from RNAcentral.
AUCCGGAGGGUGCAAGCGUUGUUCGGAAUUAUUGGGCGUAAAGAGCAUGUAGGCGGACUGUUAAGUCUGGUGUGAAAGCCCGGGGCUCAACCCCGGAAGUGCAUUGGAUACUGGCAGUCUUGAGUAUGGGAGAGGAAAGUGGAAUUCCGAGUGUAGGAGUGAAAUCCGUAGAUAUUCGGAGGAACACCAGUGGCGAAGGCGGCUUUCUGGACCAAUACUGACGCUGAGAUGCGAAAGCGUGGGGAGCGAACAGGAUUAGAUACCCUAGUAGUCC